AUUGAACGCUGGCGGCAGGCCUAACACAUGCAAGUCGAACGGCAGCGGGGGAUAGCUUGCUAUCCUGCCGGCGAGCGGCGGACGGGUGAGUAAUGCAUGGGGAGCUGCCCAGUCGAGGGGGAUAACAACUGGAAACGGUUGCUAAUACCGCAUACGCCCUAAGGGGGAAAGGUGGGGAACUUCGAUCCUACCGCGAUUGGAUGCGCCCAUGUGGGAUUAGCUAGUUGGUGAGGUAACGGCUCACCAAGGCGACGAUCUCUAGCUGGUCUGAGAGGAUGACCAGCCACACUGGAACUGAGACACGGUCCAGACUCCUACGGGAGGCAGCAGUGGGGAAUAUUGCACAAUGGGGGAAACCCUGAUGCAGCCAUGCCGCGUGUGUGAAGAAGGCCUUCGGGUUGUAAAGCACUUUCAGUCAGGAGGAAGGGGUGAUGGCUAAUAUCCAUCAUCAUUGACGUUACUGACAGAAGAAGCACCGGCUAACUCCGUGCCAGCCGCCGCGGUAA
RNAcentral lists this ribosomal RNA (506 nucleotides) under uncultured bacterium. Its description in RNAcentral is "partial 16S ribosomal RNA". It matches the Rfam family "Bacterial small subunit ribosomal RNA", at positions 30 to 523 of the family's 1533-position model. The record is from RNAcentral.